ACAGCAGCCGCCGCGGUAAUACGUAGGGUGCGAGCGUUAAUCGGAAUUACUGGGCGUAAAGCGUGCGCAGGCGGUUGUGUAAGACAGGUGUGAAAUCCCCGGGCUUAACCUGGGAACUGCGCUUGUGACUGCACAGCUAGAGUAUGGCAGAGGGGGGUGGAAUUCCACGUGUAGCAGUGAAAUGCGUAGAGAUGUGGAGGAACACUGAUGGCGAAGGCAGCCCCCUGGGCCAAUACUGACGCUCAUGCACGAAAGCGUGGGGAGCAAACAGGAUUAGAUACCCGCGUAGUCCCUGUCUCUUAUAC
RNAcentral lists this ribosomal RNA (305 nucleotides) under uncultured bacterium. Its description in RNAcentral is "partial 16S ribosomal RNA". It matches the Rfam family "Bacterial small subunit ribosomal RNA", at positions 508 to 807 of the family's 1533-position model. The record is from RNAcentral.